This 253-nucleotide ribosomal RNA is filed under the name uncultured bacterium. Its description in RNAcentral is "partial 16S ribosomal RNA". It matches the Rfam family "Bacterial small subunit ribosomal RNA", at positions 524 to 776 of the family's 1533-position model. The record is from RNAcentral.
UACGUAGGGUGCAAGCGUUGUUCGGAUUUACUGGGCGUAAAGCGUGUGUAGGCGGCUUCGCAAGUUGGAUGUGAAAUCCCACGGCUCAACCGUGGACGUGCAUCCAAAACUGCGUCGCUAGAGUCUCGGAGAGGAAGGUGGAAUGCUCGGUGUAGAGGUGAAAUUCGUAGAUAUCAAGCAGAACACCUGCGGCGAAGGCGGCCUUCUGGACGAUGACUGACGCUGAGACACGAAAGCGUGGGGAGCAAACAGG